GACGCAGAAGACGGGUGAUUUCUGCAUUUCCAUCUGAGAAAUAAAGCAGUGAAGUGACUAAAACAGCAGAAAACAAAAUCUUCUUGAGUAAAGUACUCUUGGCAGUAGACUUUAUGAUGUGGUACAACAUCAGGAAAAAAUAAACCCAGCAGACAGAUGGUCUCCAGAGAGAAAUAACCAUAAACUCUGAAACUACUACACAUGAAAGUACCUGCCCAAGGAAUAGAGAAGACAGAUGUUUCUCUAGGGAUUGACCUACAAUGGCACUUGUUGCUCUUGGUGACCAGAGCUAAAAGAAAGCUGAAAGCCAGCAUCAGUGUGUGAAGUCACUGAAGUAUUUUAUAGAUCAGAAAAGUUGGCAAGCGAUGGACACUAGACAACACAAACUUCCUCUCUCCAAAAAUAUAUUCACAGUCAGCUUUAAAGCUGUAGUCACUCCUCUGGGGUCUGAAUAAACAUGGCCAUUCUUGAUAGACAUGUUGACUGAUGGACUGAGAGAUAUAGAUACAUGCCAUGAGAUCUCUUUAUGAGCAGUGGUCUUAUGGAUAUCUGCAUGACCUCUGCUGAAGUAAAAUACUGUGGUUCGUGAGAAGACGUGACCUUUGGAUACAGCUGGUCUAGUCCUGGCUCUGCUGUGUCAGUGAAAGUGGAACAGUUACAUGGCUCUCCCGAAUCUCUGUUUUCACUUGGUUAAAUGAGGGUUACAUGUACUUACUUCCAGUGUUGUUAUGAGAAUUAAAUGAGAUUAAAUGUUAAAAUUUGUGAGCGGUCAAUAUAUGUACUUCUUUUCUCCCCCUCAGUCUCUUAAGAAUAUUCUACACCAGU
RNAcentral lists this long non-coding RNA (825 nucleotides) under Homo sapiens (human). RNAcentral's name for it is "HSALNT0335090". The record is from RNAcentral. Lineage: Eukaryota; Metazoa; Chordata; Mammalia; Primates; Hominidae.